GCCCAGGACUUUGAAAUUCUUUGUGAUGAACAAUGCCUGCAUAAAGCAUGGAGAAAAUGAGAUAAGAAUCAAAUUCAAGGCUUUCUGCAGAUACAAAUACCAAAGCACUAUUAGCCAUGAAAAUUUUGUUGGAUCUUACUUCUUAUGGUGAUUAACAUCCUGUGAUGGAAGUUAGUCAUGCUUUAUUUCAAGGUUUCAUUUGCAAGUGCUGUACAAAUUAAUAAUAAAUAGACCUCUCAAUUA
This is a long non-coding RNA of Neopelma chrysocephalum (saffron-crested tyrant-manakin), 243 nucleotides long. RefSeq lists it as uncharacterized. Lineage: Eukaryota; Metazoa; Chordata; Aves; Passeriformes; Pipridae. The transcript is spliced from 2 exons. The record is from RefSeq and is a predicted model, not a curated record.